AACGAGGCCGACCUGCGGCUGAGUUACCUGCGGAAGGAUCAUUACCGAGUUUACAACUCCCAAACCCAAUGUGAACCAUACCAAACUGUUGCCUCGGCGGGGUCACGCCCCGGGUGCGUCGCAGCCCCGGAACCAGGCGCCCGCCGGAGGGACCAACCAAACUCUUUACUGUAGUCCCCUCGCGGACGUUAUUUCUUACAGCUCUGAGCAAAAAUUCAAAAUGAAUCAAAACUUUCAACA
This 240-nucleotide unclassified non-coding RNA is filed under the name soil metagenome. Its description in RNAcentral is "partial contains 5.8S ribosomal RNA, internal transcribed spacer 2, and large subunit ribosomal RNA". The record is from RNAcentral.